GGACAGAGGGAAAGAUAAACCACUGGAGAAAGGGUCGGCAGACCUCCCCCUUCCUCCCUGAUAUUGUGGUCCAGGCAAACCCCCAACAUUCCCUGGUUCCCUGGCUCUGUGACAUCACAGCCUCCUCUCUUCUCUGCCAGUUACAGGUGAGUGAGCCUCAAAGGUCAGACCUCAGAGCAGGACGGAGUAUUUUUUCUGUACUUAAAGGGACAAUGUCUCCAUCACUCCCGGACACCUUUGCUAUAAGAAGCAGACAUUACCCCUAAUUUGCCUCGACUCCACUGUUUCUGUCUCUGGGCCCCAGUCUCCCCACCUGUGCCGACUGACCCCUAAGGGCUCCUCCAGCUCCAGAAGCCUUCCUGUUUGACCUCGCUGGGUCUUUCUUGUUCUGGUCCAAGUGCUGUGGGUCACUGGAGACCUGAGGCUCACAGCCCACUGGGCAUAACCCAAGAGGCUUUUUCUUUGGCUCCUGCCUCCAUCUAGAGGCAGGCACUGGUAGUGCAAGAAACCGCGCACUCCUGGCCCGCCCCAGCCAGCGUCAAUUCAACUCAUUUCUUCGCAUCAGCAUUUAUGUUUGUGGAGCUUUGGCAAUAUGCCAGGCAGCUGUGCUAAGCACUUUCCAUCAUUAUUUAAUCCCCGCAACCACAUUUUAGGGUAGAUGCUAUUAUCGUCAUCCCCAUUUUACAGAUACGAAACCUGAGGUUCAAGGGAGUUAAAUUCUUCUAAAUUUCAUAGCUUACUAAGUAGGGGAUCUUUAAUUAUUAUCCCCCAAAGAAUGUGCCUGUCACUGCUGCAAUACCUCCCUUAAGAGCCUUUCCAUUUCUGAAGAGGGCUCAAAAGUUCAACACUCUUUGCUACUAAGACUGAAAGGAGAAAGUGUUUUUCUACUCCCCUCUUUUUCUCAUGAAAUUUCUGGCCAGAGUAAACAUAUGGAAAGUAUUGACACUAGAUUUAGACAAACCUACAUUUCAGCCCCUGGUGAACACCUAAUAUGGAAUUUUGUAUGUAUGUAUUUGUAUGUACGUAAGCUAUUUGUAUGUAUGUAAGGCUCCAGGCUAUUUGUAUGUAUGUAAGCUGCUGCAGAGAAAGAGCCCCCCACUCAAUGUGUGAAACAAAAACUGAAUUUAUUUUGGGUUAAACAAGGGAGAAUUGAGCUUUUAUGACAAAGUCUCGGAACAAAGCUAAGCGCUAAUAUAUAACAAGUGCGGGAGGGUGUUGCGUUCACGGAAGGUGGCAUUUCAGAGGCAGGAGUGCUUGGGAAUGGUAGACCAUGAACUGGGAAAGUGUACCUACUAUUAUGUGUCUCUUACUUUGGGGAGAAUGGUCACCGAGGCAAAGUUUUGUUAAAAGAUUAAAUGACUUUAAAACAGGUUCUGGGGCUUACCUGUUACCAUGGUUACAGAGCAAUCAGUCUUUACUUAGGAGACUGGGACCUUCUUUUUUCUCCUUAGUCUCCCCCUUUUUGGUCCUCCCUCAACCAAAGCUGCAGGAGAGACCCUCAGGAAUUGUGCAGAUCUUCACCACUGUUGUCCACUUUCCUUGAAGACACAGUUCCACCUUUCCACCUACAGAGAUCUGAUGUUCAGUUUGAGCAUUAGCCAGCCUGAUGCCUUUUGGUUUUGUCUUUGAAUCAUCCGUGGAGCUCUACGUUGGGCCAGUGGCCGCAUAAAAUCAUUUGACUCUCUGGACAGCAGCCAGUAAAUGACUGUGAGGCAAACAACAAUCAUUAAAAGGUUUUUAAGUUUUAGAUUAAAUCAUUAGAUCAAUUAAAAGAAGGAUCUGGAAGGCAUUCCAGAAUCAUCAUCCACAAUCUCCUAGGCGUGACCUAGAAAAGAAAUUCCAAAUCAUUCUCUGUGUCUGCUUUAGAUAGUCAGGUUGCCUUUCUUUGGGCUUAGAAACCUCACCUGUGGUAUUAAUCCAGGUACACCAUGAGGAGCUAGCAAAGGUGCAUGCUCUCCCUGAUUAGCCAAAAUAAAAUCCAAAGGUGUUCUAUUACCCACAAUUACUUGAGCUAAGGAAUUUUGAUUGGUUGGUUGGUGUUCCAUCGCGUGGGCUGUAUUAUUUAAUUUACUAUGUCAGCCAAGAUGAGAGAAAAUGAGCACCUUGAGUUGUCCAGCCCGUACAGAGACCUCACUGUCCUCAGAAUAGGCCCAUCUAUUGGUACUGAUAGCCCCAUCCAAGUUUUUCUUGUUUCCAGUGUUGUGUAAGACAACACAGUCUGCUGAGGGCGUUGGGAGUUGUACACUUGGAAUGGUCAACUCUUCAUCACCCAGAAUAGUCUCAGUUCUAGUUGGAGUGGAAGAAUCUGGUUUCCACAUAGGAAACAAAUCAUGUCAACCAGUGGUAUUGUUGUCUGUCUGUAGUUAUCAACAAUUCCCCUUGAGAAUUUAGAGGAAGGAUAAGAAUGUAUUGAGUGUUAAGGUCUCCUCAGAGUAGCAUCACUGGACAGACUUGGAGAGCUGUCCUCCUACCAUUAUGGAACAUGAAUUCCUCCAAUGGGUUCCUGCUUACCGUAAAUACGAGGGUCCUUAUCAACAGACUCCACGUUCGUUAUGGACAGAGGAGUUUUGACCUUGUUUUUAUUUUAGAAGUCCGUUGUUUUCUCCAAAAGGCCAUUUCUGGUUGAUUUUUUAGGACUCUUUGAAAAUGAUCAGGAGAUCUAAGUUGGCAUUUCACCUCCUAAUUUAUUUUAUCUAAGUCCUCUAUUUCAAGACUGAGCCUUUCGCAAAGAGAGAAGAAAAGGCUCCUUUACUUAAGCUGUUGGUCGCCCUAGAAUGUUCUUUGAAAGUGUCCUGAAGUCCAUUAAAGUCUCCUGGUAAUUCAUCUUGAGUUUGUUUGCAAUUUUGGAUCUUUGCCCGAUCUACCCUUGGGGAAAAGAUUUUUGAAAUAGUUUUAUGUGGUACCUUUUCUAUUUUUCUUCUCAAGUCCACUUUUUUGAAUUCUGUGUAGGUGGGUUAUUUAAAUCUUGUGGUCUUUUCCAUCCUGCUGCUCUUAAACAUUUUUCCCCAUCGCUGAAGGUCAACCAUUAAGUGAACUGACUGGUACAGACACAGGAGUCAAUAAGUAGCAGGAUAACUAGCAGAAUCCUGAGUUAUACAGCAGCUUUCUGUCAUUCUGAAAUUUGGGGUGAUCCUAUAUAUUCACCCUCAGCUCAACUCUCAUGCAGGGUUUGAAUUCAACCUCUCUGGACCCACCUCCUGGUACAGGAGUUUUCAGGGGAUAUUGUGCAGUGUUGAUUGUUCUUUUCUACAGAAAUGAAGGGAAUUUAUUUAAGCAGUCACGGGAAGGAAUAGAAAGAGUGUAAGUAGGUGGUAACGAUAAAGCUGGGUGGAGAGAGAGAAAGAGAUGUAAAGAAAGCAGGUUUCAGAAGGUUUGAGUAGGAGUACGUCUUUUUUUUCCCCUUCUUUCUUUCUUUCUGAGGCCAGAACAUACCAAUCAAAGACGCUCUCUACUGAAUAUGUGGUGUUUUUGUCUUCUCUCUUCUCUAGAGUCCCUCUUAAAUCUCAUACUUUUGACAUGAAAGGUUUCCCUUAGUGCCCAUAAUUCCAAGUCAUCUGGUUAAACUUUCCCAUCUAUUAACAUAAACGUUAACACACAUGAAAGUACACGUAUUGAGGGUAUAUAUGUGAAGCAGGAGUUGUUGUUUUGUUUUGUUUUUGUUUUGUUUUGUUUUGUUUUCAGGAAAAGGCAGCAACUUUAAGGUAGAUAAGACCAUGACAAACAGCAGAGAUCACAUUACAGUUGACCACAGUUAUACAUGGUGUCUUGAAUUCUGUGGCCUCACAGAGCCUAAAAGAGGCCAUCUGAUCACCAACCUGGAAGUCACUGACUCCUGAAUAUAGGCUGAGUAAAGUGACAUUAGCUACUUUCAUUAGGUUAACAAGACAGAACACGUGCUCGUGAAGGUUUGGAGGCACCCGAGGCAGAGGCUUAGCAAUCACACUCACACAAAUUGAUCACCACCUAACAGACCUCCAACCGUUAGUCCUUGGGGCUGAGGGUUGUGGUGAGCCCUUGCCACACCUCUGCUUUCACUCCUUCCUUAGGAAACACCUCCCUCUACAUUCAACAUACAUGAGGCAAUCUGGAACAAAGCAAAACCCCACGAGGCAAGAAUUUAUAUGAAGGAAAUUGAAACGAAAGCAAACAGCAGAAGAAUAAGUAUAUUAAUGGCAAGCAUACUUGCUAAAUGGUGCAUCUCCUAAACAAAAUACCUAAUUGCCUUAAAUAAAUCUCUCUUUUUUAAAAAUUUUUUGUCAAGUUAGCUAACAUACAGUGUAGUCUUGGCUUCAGGAGUUGAUUCCCAUGAUUCAUCAGUUACACACAACACUCAGUGCUCAUCCCAGCAAGGGCCCUCCUCAAUGCCCAUCACCCAUUUUCCCCAUCCCCCAGCUCCCCAUCCCCAUCAACCCUCAUUUUGUUCUCUGUAUUUAAGAGUGUCUUAUGGUUUGCCUCCCUCUCUGUUUGUAUCUUAUUUUUCCUUCCCUUCUCCAUGGUCUUCCGUUAAGUUUCUCAAAUUCCACAUAUGAGUGAAAACAUAUGAUACCUGUCUUUCUCUGAUUGACUUAUUUCACUUACCAUAAUACCCUCCAGUUCCAUCCACAUUGUUGCAAAUGGCAAGAUUUCAUUCUUUUUCAUCGCUGAGUAAUACUCAAUUGUGUACAUAUACCACAUCAUAUUAAUCCAUUCAUCAGUAGAUGGACAUUUAGGCUCUUCCCAUAUUUUGGUUAUUGUUGAUAACACUGCCAUAAACAUUGGGGUCCAUGUGCCCCUUUGAAUCAGCAUUCCUGUAUCCUUUGGAUAAAUUCCUAGUAGUGCUAUUGCUGUGUCAUAGAGUAAUUCUAUUUCCAAUUUUUUGAGAAAACUCCAUGCUUUUCCAGACCGGCUGCACCAGUUUGCAUUCCUACUGACAGUGCAAGAGGGUUCCCCUUUCUCCACAUCCUUGCCAACAUCUGUAGUUUCUUGAUUAGUUCAUUUUAGCCACUCUGACCAGUGGGAGGUGGUAUCUUAGUGUGGUUUUGAUUUGUAAAUUUCUAUCUGUUCAUAAAUCCUAAGAAGAUACAAUAAAUUCAUUAAAGAGAGCUCAAGGAAAUAUAUCAGAGCUCAAAUCAUGUGGAAAAACUCACUGGGCAGAAAAUCCAAAAGGCUAUUAGAGAUGGGGGCUAAAUGGCCCCAAGGAGUACUACUUUGGUCCAAGGAUCCCACAAAAUGGAGAUAUUUGUAUGUGUCUAGGCUGCUGGAUGUAUCUAGCCACAAUAUAUAAAUUGUGCUGUAUCAAAUACAGUACAUGCCAGAAGUUAAAGAUUUUGUAUUAAUUGAAGGGGUCCAGGGUAAAAGAAACAAAGACAUCACUUAGGAGGCUGUUGUUCUGCUUUAGGCAAGACAUAAUGGUGGCUUGGGCCAGGGGACAGCAGUAGAGAGAGUGAGAAGCAAACACUCACGAGUGUGGCAGCUCACAUAGAGAAUUGGCUUGUGAGGGACAUCAGCCGAUACCAUGAUAAGAAUUUCCUUGGGGGCGCCUGGGCAGCUCAUUUGGUUGGGCAUCUGACUUCAGCUCAGGUCUUCAUCUCGCAGUUUGUGGAUUCGAGCCCCGCCUUGGGCUCUGUGCUGACAGCUGGAGGCUGCUUCAAGUUCUGGGUCUCCCUCUCUCUCUGUCCCUCCCCUGCUCAUGCUCUGUCUCUGUUUCUCAAAAAUAAAUAAAUGUUGAAAAAAAUUUUUUUAAUGAAAGAAGAAUGAAAGAAAGAAAGAAAGAAAGAAAGAAGAAAGAAAGAAAGAAAGAAAGAAAGAAAGAAAGAAAGAAAGAAAGAAGAAAGAAAGAAAUAUCUGGUAGCAAUGUUGAAAAAAGAAUUUCCUAAAAGGGGGUCUUGCCACAGAAAGGCAAGUGAGAACUGGAAGCAUUCAGAGACAAAGGAAUUGGUGACUAAAGCAAGGUUUUAUAAUUCUGGACCAUCAGAACUAGAAAGAUCCUUGAAGAUAUCAUCUAGCCUAACUUCCUGUUAUUAUUGAUGGGGCUCCUGAAAUGCAGAGACACACGUGGACUUAGCCACAGCCAGUGAGCAAGUUGGUGGCAGGACCAGGACCUAAACCUGCAAGACUGUGCUUCAUUGCCAUGUUCCCCUGGGACCUGGGCCAACUGGAGUAUUUUGGAGCCAGUGAGCCACAUAAAGGGAAGGGAAAUGGAAUGAUCAUUGACUGCACACUUAUUGUGACUUUUCAUAUACUUAGUCCUUUACUUUUUCUGCAAGUAGGCACUGCGCUCCCAUUUUCUCCAUGAAAAAAUUGAGGUUCAAGAAAGUUAAGGAAUCUACCCAAGAGAAUGCACCCAGAACUGGGGUUGAACAUGGAUCAACCUAAAAACUGGAUGCUCGUGUGCGUGAGCCUGGAUGUUAUGGUAGGGGGAUCCUAUCUAGAGUGUGAGCACAGAUAAAGGACUAGCAUUUUUCAACCACAGUCUUAUGUUUAUUUAGGAAACAGCCCUGCCCAGGGAACUGGGUUCAAAUUCAAGGUUAGCUGACUCAACAAGGCGCCCCUACAGGCGAAGCUGGCAGAGUAAAGGCUUCAACUCUUCUCCAUGGGUAAGGAAAUUUUGCAUAGAAUGGGAAAAAUAAUUUUAAAAGAGGACAGCCUAGGCAGAAGGGCCUGGAUCUGCUGGCCAUGGGGAGCUAUGCAAGAUUUGGGAGGGAGGAAGGCUAUUAUAUCUUGGGAGAGGUUGACCCAGUAAUGACCCCCAUCACAGUGAAUUUCCAGUGGGCAUCUGGAGUUCAGAUCCCAGAAACCAUGGCCCCCAUUCCUUCACCUCUUACAGCAGCCCACCAAAACUUGGCUUCGAAGAUCUUCUGUUUGUGCUGCAGAGACUGUGAGGACCCCCGGGCCAUGGAUGACCCCAAGGCCCCCAGUGAACCCCAGGAUCAGCAGCCAUCCACCUGCAGUAGGUACCAGACAAGGACACACCGUCCAGCCUCUCUAGACCUCAGUUUUUUCAUCCCCCUUCUGCUGUGAUACCCUCAGGUUUCCUUCAGCCUUUGAGUGAUAAUUCCAACCUAAAAUUAAGUGGGAACUGGGUGGUUUCCUAACGCAAACCAAUAAACAAUAGGCAGGGAGGCCGGUCAGUUGUCUGUCACGGUCCCAUCAGGAAAUGGAGCAGUUUAACAGCAUGAGAAAAAUUCUCAUGACAUAUUCUUCCAGAAAAUCCAUGGUGAGGGUCUUUAAAAUACUCCCCCAGGAAAUAAUUUCACAAUAAAAACUGAGGACCUUAAAAAUGUCAAUCCAUUUUUCCAAGAUAAUAAUAAUGGUGGGGCGCCUGGGUGGCUGAGUCUGUUGGGCGUCCAGCUUCGGCUCAGGUCAUGAUCUUGUGGGUCGUGGGUUCGAGCCCUGUGUCAGGCACUGUGCUGACAGUUUGGAGCCUGAAGCCUGCUUCUGAUUCUGUGUUUCCCUCUCUCUCUGCCCCUCCCCCAUUCAUUCUCCCUCUCUCUCUCUCAAAAAUAAAUAAACAUUAAAAAAAUGUUUUUAAUAAUAAUAAUGGUAAUGACUGAGACCUUCUUACUUACAAAGCACUGUCUAGGCACUAGGGAGCCCACUGUGAUCAGAUAAGUCCCCUACUAUAUCAGAGCUGACACUGGAGAAAAGCGAUAUUAUCUGAUGUAACUCUAAGAAGGGGACGUGAUUAUCCAAAAUGGAUGUGUCAUUUUGUAGCUCUGAGAACAGAGGCAUGGGAGGGGAGCAGUUUGCUGUACUUGUGCAGCUAGCAAAGGACAGAGGUAUUUAUUACAGAACACAGUUCAGUCUGUUGACAGACUCCUAUGCUAUACCUUUAAGAAUUUAGAAUUAUGGGGCACCUGGGUGGCUCAGUUGGUUAAGUGUCCAACUCGAUUUCAGCUCAGGUCAUGAUCUCAUGGUUCUUGAGAUCGAAACCCAUAUGAGGCUCUGCGAUGUGCAUCAAGCCUGCUUGGGAUUCUCUCUCUCCCUCUUUCUCUUGCUCCUCCCCCCCCACUCUCAAGCGUGUGCUCUCUCUCAAAAUAAAUAAACAUUAAAAAAAAGAAUUUAGAAUUAUAUAAAAACAAAGCCUUAUAUACAACAAUGUUCACCAUAAUAGUAUUUAUAGUAGUGAAAAACAAUUUAAACACCCAACAAUAGAAUAUUGAUUAAAUAACUCUUGAAUUAUCUGCAAAAUAGAAUAUUAUACAACCAUCAUUUGUUAAAAUUUAGUGGCCUGAGAAGAAUGUUUAUGACAUAACGUGUAUGAAAAAAGGAAAAUGCAUACAUGACAUGUAAGAUAUGAUGGACUGUGUAAAAGUAUGUGUGAGAAAAGACCAGAACUGUGAUUGCAUCUGAGAGGCCAGGAGUUUGGGUCAUUUCUAUUUCUACUUCAUAUUCUUCAAUCUUUCCUAGCUUUUCUAUAAUGGAUAUGCAUUAGCAUUUAUAAACAGGGUGGGGGGAGGUAAACUUUGUGUUUUAAAAAGAGUACAUAGUUUGAACCCAGCAUGUGCUUAGGGGGAGCACUUGGAAGACUGGAGGAGGGAGAUCCAGGUGGUCCCCGCCCCCAUGACAACCACCACUGGCUCGCGUGCACUGACUCAAGGUUGGCAACGUACCUUCACUUCCAUCACCUCCCCCGAGCCUCCCCACCUGACUGUGUGGAAUUAUCACCGCCAGGUUUGCAGAAGGAGGGGCUGGACAGCAAGAAUUCGAAGCAUGCUAAUGAAGCCUCCCACUCGCCUUUGGGACAACCUCUGAUCCACCCAGAAAAGAGAGCCUCCACCACCAGCAACAAUGAGUAUGAAGGUGAGUUCCACAUUGGGGUCCUAACACUGACCAGGAACCCCCAUUGUGCUGAUGACCAAGCCCCAUUGAUCUUUGAGCUAAACUAAGUGUGGUGAUAGGAGAGAGAGGACCACGCCCUCCAGGAAGCUUCGGUCAUUCUAGAACACACUGGAGCAAUUCCAGGAGUCUGCUAGGAAUUACGUGAGGAGCAAUAGGUCUGGGAGGAAAGAGCACACAUCCACGCUUCUCUUCUAAGCCCUUGGGGUCUUAUCUUACACGUCUAUUUUGUGUGGCUGUUGCUUUUGUGUCUGCUUUGGCCACUAGACGGUAAGUCCCAGGAGGACAGCUGUGUUCCCCCAAACCCCACAAGGUGCAUGGCAAGUAAACAAGGCCAGAAAAUGCUUGUGGGCUGAGUAUAGUUGGGGGUGAAACGCCUCAGGGUCACGGAAGAAAGAUAGAAGUCCAGUCCAGGAAGAAGAGACGUCGCCACAUUGCUGGGCACCCACACUGCCCGGGUGAUGUCACUUAGCUCACAAGCACCCUCUGAGGCUGCUGCUAAGAGCUAAGGACGAGCCCAGCCCCCGCAUUUCAGGAUUCGCAAAAACAGCUACACCGUCCUUGCAAACAAAGUCUCACACAAAGUCCCAUUGUUAUAAAAGACAGAAGGGCUCCCGCUGCACUUGAAUCGAGGGUCAGGCCUGGGAGCCCCACUAGCUCCACCACCCGCUCCCUCUCACCUCCCAACCCCCACAGGGCUCCAUGGAACACAGUUUAAAAACCCACCUCUCUUGGGGCACCUGGGUGGCCUAGUUGGUUGAGCAUCUGACUUCGGCUCAGGUCAUGAUCUCACAGUUCAUGAGUUCAAGCCCCGUGUCGGGCUCUGUGCUGACAGCUUGGAGUCUGCUUUGGAUCCUCUGUCCCUCUCUCUCUGCCCCUCCCCUGCUCAUGUGCUCACUUCCUCUCUCUCUCAAAAAUAAACAUUAAAAAAAUUCUUAAAAAAUAAGUCACCUCUCAUUGUAUAGAGAAAACUGAGGCCCACAGGGGAAAGGGACUUUCCCAAAGUCCACCCAGGAAGUAAGGUUAGUGUUAGAAGCAGAUUGGGUCCGAUCCUCUUACCUUCCAGGCCUCUGCUCCGUGCAAGGCCCCCAACCAUCACUGAACACACCAAUGAAUUACAAACGCAGAACCUACUGGCAUGGCCCUGCCACCAAGGACUUACGAGUCCGGCCUGGGGGUCCACGUGGCUCACACGGUAUUCCAGGACCCGACCAUGAUCAGGGAUGGAGGUGGCUGGGGCGGUGCAUCCAAGCCCAGUGCGAAGGUUCCACCCGGCAUCGUAACCGGUUCCUUUCUGCUUGCAGAACUGAAUACACACUCCCAAAGAGGUUUCUGCAAGAGAAACCUAAACCGCUACUCCCGGGACCGCUGGCCAUUCCAGCCGUGUCACAUCGGGAGGCCCUGAGCAUUCUAGACCGCCACUCCCACGCGGGCCUCCCAGGCUGCGGGCCGCUGGGGUGUCUCCGGAAGGAAGAGGCAGUGAGCAGGGGCCAUGAAGACGGAUUCAGAAACUCCCCCGGGAGGAGAAGACGUCUGAGCCACCCCUGUGCCACCAGCAGGAGUCACUCCAGCUCCUGAAAAAGCCACUGUGGAGGGAGCUGUUUCCAAUUAAAGCCCUUGGUGAUAUC
Molecule: long non-coding RNA, 10445 nt
Filed under: Lynx pardinus (Iberian lynx)
Lineage: Eukaryota; Metazoa; Chordata; Mammalia; Carnivora; Felidae
Rfam family: tRNA (bases 5518-5602)
Source: RNAcentral